This 157-nucleotide small RNA is filed under the name Clostridiales bacterium CHKCI001. RNAcentral describes it as "Clostridiales-1 RNA". It matches the Rfam family "Clostridiales-1 RNA". Lineage: Bacteria; Bacillati; Bacillota; Clostridia; Eubacteriales. The record is from Rfam by way of RNAcentral.
UAAAAGUGUCGUGAAUGACCAGACAGGCCGGGAAUUUAUACCCUGUACUAGAUGGACAUUCGACGACCUGACUCGUAUAAGCAAGUAGGGCUUUUGCCUGGAUUGCGAAUACAGGCAGCGAUGUCGAGAGUGCACAGCACGAAGACAUCGACUUUUC